Molecule: ribosomal RNA, 301 nt
Filed under: uncultured bacterium
Lineage: Bacteria
Description: partial 16S ribosomal RNA
Rfam family: Bacterial small subunit ribosomal RNA
Source: RNAcentral
CAGCAGCCACGGGAAUACGAAGGGGGCUAGCGUUGCUCGGAAUCACUGGGCGUAAAGGGUGCGUAGGCGGGUCUUUAAGUCAGGGGUGAAAUCCUGGAGCUCAACUCCAGAACUGCCUUUGAUACUGAAGAUCUUGAGUUCGGGAGAGGUGAGUGGAACUGCGAGUGUAGAGGUGAAAUUCGUAGAUAUUCGCAAGAACACCAGUGGCGAAGGCGGCUCACUGGCCCGAUACUGACGCUGAGGCACGAAAGCGUGGGGAGCAAACAGGAUUAGAUACCCCCGUAGUCCCUGUCUCUUAUAC